This 443-nucleotide ribosomal RNA is filed under the name uncultured Prevotella sp. RNAcentral describes it as "bacterial SSU rRNA". It matches the Rfam family "Bacterial small subunit ribosomal RNA", at positions 355 to 794 of the family's 1533-position model. The record is from RNAcentral. Lineage: Bacteria; Pseudomonadati; Bacteroidota; Bacteroidia; Bacteroidales; Prevotellaceae.
UGAGGAAUAUUGGGUCAAUGGGGCGAGAGCCUGAACCAGCCAAGUAGCGUGCAGGAUGACGGCCCUAUGGGUUGUAAACUGCUUUUAUAAGGGAAUAAAGUGAGUCUCGUGAGACUUUUUGCAUGUACCUUAUGAAUAAGGACCGGCUAAUUCCGUGCCAGCAGCCGCGGUAAUACGGAGGAUGCGAGCGUUAUCCGGAUUUAUUGGGUUUAAAGGGUGCGCAGGCGGCGUGCCAAGUCAGCGGUCAAAGUUCCGGGCUCAACCCGGUGAUGCCGUUGAAACUGGUGUGCUUGAGUGCGUGCGAGGGAGGCGGAAUGCGUUGUGUAGCGGUGAAAUGCAUAGAUAUGACGCAGAACUCCGAUUGCGAAGGCAGCUUUCCAGCACGCCACUGACGCUGAGGCACGAAAGCGUGGGGAUCGAACAGGAUUAGAUACCCUGGUAGU